GUCAGGAUGGCCGAGCGGUCUAAGGCGCCAGACUCAAGGUUAAUCCCCUUUUCAGUCCAAGACUGAAUCAAUGUGCAUUCUGGUCUCCAUCUGGAGGCGUGGGUUCGAAUCCCACUCCUGACA
This 123-nucleotide transfer RNA is filed under the name Apis mellifera (honey bee). It matches the Rfam family "tRNA". Rfam says of the family: Transfer RNA (tRNA) molecules are approximately 80 nucleotides in length. Their secondary structure includes four short double-helical elements and three loops (D, anti-codon, and T loops). The record is from Rfam by way of RNAcentral. Lineage: Eukaryota; Metazoa; Arthropoda; Insecta; Hymenoptera; Apidae.